Molecule: ribosomal RNA, 529 nt
Filed under: Aspergillus insuetus
Lineage: Eukaryota; Fungi; Ascomycota; Eurotiomycetes; Eurotiales; Aspergillaceae
Description: eukaryotic LSU rRNA
Rfam family: 5.8S ribosomal RNA (bases 166-319)
Source: RNAcentral
GAAUGCCAUCACUAGCGGAGGAUGCCCCCGGGCGGGCCUAGACUCCCACCCGUGAAUACCUGACCAACGUUGCUUCGGCGGUGCGCCCCCCCGGGGGUAGCCGCCGGAGACCACAUUGAACCUCUUGUCUUUAGUGUUGUCUGAGCUUGAUAGCAAACCUAUUAAAACUUUCAACAAUGGAUCUCUUGGUUCCGGCAUCGAUGAAGAACGCAGCGAACUGCGAUAAGUAAUGUGAAUUGCAGAAUUCAGUGAAUCAUCGAGUCUUUGAACGCACAUUGCGCCCCCUGGCAUUCCGGGGGGCAUGCCUGUCCGAGCGUCAUUGCUGCCCUUCAAGCCCGGCUUGUGUGUUGGGUCGUCGUCCCCCCUGGGGGACGGGCCCGAAAGGCAGCGGCGGCACCGCGUCCGGUCCUCAGCGUAUGGGGCUUUGUCACCCGCAGAAUUAGGGCGGCCGGGCCCCACCGGCCCCCACCUUUAUUUUACAACACGACCCGGAACCGGAAGGAAACCCGCUAAUUAUUAAACCAGAGAA